This 263-nucleotide ribosomal RNA is filed under the name uncultured bacterium. RNAcentral's name for it is "partial 16S ribosomal RNA". It matches the Rfam family "Bacterial small subunit ribosomal RNA", at positions 793 to 1055 of the family's 1533-position model. The record is from RNAcentral.
GUCCACGCCCUAAACGAUGUCAACUGGUUGUUGGGUCUUCACUGACUCAGUAACGAAGCUAACGCGUGAAGUUGACCGCCUGGGGAGUACGGCCGCAAGGUUGAAACUCAAAGGAAUUGACGGGUACCCGCACAAGCGGUGGAUGAUGUUGUUUAAUUCGAUGCAACGCGAAAACCUUACCCACCUUUGACAUGUACGGAAUUCGCCAGAGAUGGCUUAGUGCUCGAAAGAGAACCGUAACACAGGUGCUGCAUGGCUGUCGU